Molecule: ribosomal RNA, 470 nt
Filed under: uncultured beta proteobacterium
Lineage: Bacteria; Pseudomonadati; Pseudomonadota; Betaproteobacteria
Description: bacterial SSU rRNA
Rfam family: Bacterial small subunit ribosomal RNA
Source: RNAcentral
GGAGAAAAGCAGGGGAUCGCAAGACCUUGCGCUCAUUGAGCGGCCGAUGCCUGAUUAGCUAGUUGGUGAGGUAAAGGCUUACCAAGGCGACGAUCAGUAGCUGGUCUGAGAGGACGACCAGCCACACUGGGACUGAGACACGGCCCAGACUCCUACGGGAGGCAGCAGUGGGGAAUUUUGGACAAUGGGGGAAACCCUGAUCCAGCCAUGCCGCGUGAGUGAAGAAGGCCUUCGGGUUGUAAAGCUCUUUCAGCCGGAACGAAACGGUCACGGCUAAUACCUGUGACUACUGACGGUACCGGAAGAAGAAGCACCGGCUAACUACGUGCCAGCAGCCGCGGUAAUACGUAGGGCGCGAGCGUUAAUCGGAAUUACUGGGCGUAAAGCGUGCGCAGGCGGUUUUGUAAGUCAGAAGGGAAAUCCCCGGGCUUAACCUGGGAACUGCGUUCUUAAAAGGAAGCUAGAAGGGC